UACGGAGGGUGCAAGCGUUAUCCGGAUUCACUGGGUUUAAAGGGUGUGUAGGCGGGUAUUUAAGUCAGUGGUGAAAUCUCCAGGCUCAACCUGGAAACUGCCAUUGAUACUAUAUAUCUUGAAUCUUGUUGAGGUGGGCGGAAUAUGUCAUGUAGCGGUGAAAUGCAUAGAUAUGACAUAGAACACCAAUUGCGAAGGCAGCUCACUAAGCAAGUAUUGACGCUGAGGCACGAAAGCGUGGGGAUCAAAC
RNAcentral lists this ribosomal RNA (250 nucleotides) under uncultured bacterium. RNAcentral describes it as "partial 16S ribosomal RNA". It matches the Rfam family "Bacterial small subunit ribosomal RNA", at positions 524 to 773 of the family's 1533-position model. The record is from RNAcentral.